UGGUGGAGCGAUUUGUCUAGUUAAUUCCGAUAACGAACGAGACUCUGACCUACUAAAUAGUUGGCAGUUCAAUGCGACUGCAAAACUUCUUAGAGGGACUAGUGGUGCUAACCGCACGAGAUUGAGCAAUAACA
Molecule: ribosomal RNA, 134 nt
Filed under: uncultured eukaryote
Lineage: Eukaryota
Description: partial 18S ribosomal RNA
Rfam family: Eukaryotic small subunit ribosomal RNA
Source: RNAcentral